RNAcentral lists this unclassified non-coding RNA (204 nucleotides) under Hevea brasiliensis (rubber tree). The record is from RNAcentral. Lineage: Eukaryota; Viridiplantae; Streptophyta; Magnoliopsida; Malpighiales; Euphorbiaceae.
AUAUGUUCAUAUAGAUCAUGUAAUAAUGUUUAAUUUGAGGGGAUAAACAAUUCUGCACAUAUUCAGUUUUUUGUCUCUCACGUUUUUAUUAUUUUUUGUUAUUUUCUGAAUCUGUAAAAAUUUUAGGAAGAUUAUAUUCCUAUUCUUCACGAAAUUCUAUUAAUUUUAAGCUUAAGAAUAACUAAAAAAGCUUUUGUAUUUUGU